RNAcentral lists this ribosomal RNA (164 nucleotides) under uncultured bacterium. Its description in RNAcentral is "partial 16S rRNA". It matches the Rfam family "Bacterial small subunit ribosomal RNA", at positions 355 to 511 of the family's 1533-position model. The record is from RNAcentral.
UAGGGAAUCUUCCACAAUGGACGAAAGUACUGAUGGAGNAACGCGCGUGAGUGAAGAAGGGUUUCGGCUCGUAAAACUCUGUUGUUAAAGAAGAACAUAUCUGAGAGUAACUGUUCAGGUAUUGACGGUAUUUAACCAGAAAGCCACGGCUAACUACGUGCCAC